AGCAGCCGCGGUAAUUCCAGCUCCAAUAGCGUAUAUUAAAGUUGUUGCAGUUAAAAAGCUCGUAGUUGAACUUCGGGGUUCACCCAUUGGUCAGGCUUAAUUGUCUGUACUGGUGAGAUGAGUCUCUACCUUCUGAGGAACUUUCAUGCCAUUUAUUUGGUGUGAUUGGAAAUCAGGACUGUUACUUUGAAAAAUUAGAGUGUUUAAAGCAGGCUAACGUCUGAAUACAUUAGCAUGGAAUAAUGAAAUAGGACGGACUGAUUCUAUUUCGUUGGUUUCUAGGAUCACCGUAAUGAUUAAUAGGGAUAGUUGGGGGCAUUAGUAUUCAAUUGUCAGAGGUGAAAUUCUUGGAUUUAUUGAAGACUAACUACUGCGAAAGCAUUUGCCAAGGAUGUUUUCAUUAAUCAAGAACGAAAGUUAGGGGAUCGAAGACGAUCAGAUACCGUCGUAGUCUUAACCAUAAACUAUGCCGACUGGGGAUCGGACGAAGUUAAUUUUAUAAUGACGCGUUCGGA
RNAcentral lists this small RNA (515 nucleotides) under uncultured Diversispora. Its description in RNAcentral is "SSU rRNA". It matches the Rfam family "Eukaryotic small subunit ribosomal RNA", at positions 569 to 1084 of the family's 1831-position model. Lineage: Eukaryota; Fungi; Glomeromycota; Glomeromycetes; Diversisporales; Diversisporaceae. The record is from RNAcentral.